Molecule: ribosomal RNA, 253 nt
Filed under: uncultured bacterium
Lineage: Bacteria
Description: partial 16S ribosomal RNA
Rfam family: Bacterial small subunit ribosomal RNA
Source: RNAcentral
GACAGAGGUGCCAAGCGUUAGGCGGAAUCACUGGGCUUAAAGCGUGUGUAGGCGGAUCGUUAAGUACCUUGUGAAAUCCCACGGCUCAACCGUGGAACUGCUGGGUAUACUGGCGAUCUUGAGCCACCUAGGGGCGAGCGGAACAAGCGGUGGAGCGGUGAAAUGCGUAGAUAUCGCUUGGAACGCCAAUGGUGAAAACAGCUCGCUGGGGGUGUGCUGACGCUGAGGAGCGAAAGCGUGGGGAGCGAACAGG